Molecule: ribosomal RNA, 492 nt
Filed under: uncultured bacterium
Lineage: Bacteria
Description: partial 16S ribosomal RNA
Rfam family: Bacterial small subunit ribosomal RNA
Source: RNAcentral
AGUGAACGCUGGCGGUAGGCCUAACACAUGCAAGUCGAACGGCAGCACAGUAAGAGCUUGCUCUUACGGGUGGCGAGUGGCGGACGGGUGAGGCAUACAUCGGAAUCUACUUUUUCGUGGGGGAUAACGUAGGGAAACUUACGCUAAUACCGCAUACGACCUACGGGUGAAAGCAGUGGAUCUUCGGACCUUGCGCGAUUGAAUGAGCCGAUGUCGGAUUAGCUAGUUGGCGGGGUAAAGGCUCACCAAGGCGACGAUCCGUAGCUGGUCUGAGAGGAUGAUCAGCCACACUGGAACUGAGACACGGUCCAGACUCCUACGGGAGGCAGCAGUGGGGAAUAUUGGACAAAGGGCGCAAGCCUGAUGCAGCAAUACCGCGUGAGUGAAGAAGGCCUUCGGAUUGUAAAGCCCUUUUGUUGGGAAAGAAAAGCAGCAGGUUAAUACCCCGCUGUUCUGACGGUACCCAAAGAAUAAGCACCGGCUAACUUCGUG